Molecule: non-coding RNA, 2356 nt
Organism: Callorhinus ursinus (northern fur seal)
Lineage: Eukaryota; Metazoa; Chordata; Mammalia; Carnivora; Otariidae
Source: RefSeq, a predicted model, not a curated record
UCUGCCCGCGGUGUCUCAGAUUCAUUCUUAAGGAACUGAGAACUUAAUCUUCCAAAAUGUCAAAAACACCAUCUUAUGCCCCACCUCCCACCCCAGCUCCUGCAACACAAAUGCCCAGCACACCAGGGUUUGUGGGAUACAAUCCAUACAGUCAUCUCGCCUACAACAACUACAGGCUGGGAGGGAACCCGGGCACCAACAGCCGGGUCACGGCAUCCUCUGGUAUUACGAUUCCAAAACCCCCAAAGCCACCAGAUAAGCCGCUGAUGCCCUACAUGAGGUACAGCAGAAAGGUCUGGGACCAAGUAAAAGCUUCCAACCCUGACCUAAAGUUGUGGGAGAUUGGCAAGAUUAUUGGUGGCAUGUGGCGAGAUCUCACUGAUGAAGAAAAACAAGAAUAUUUAAAUGAAUACGAAGCAGAAAAGAUAGAGUACAAUGAAUCUAUGAAGGCCUAUCAUAAUUCCCCCGCAUACCUUGCUUACAUAAAUGCAAAAAGUCGUGCAGAAGCUGCUUUAGAGGAAGAAAGUCGACAGAGACAGUCUCGCAUGGAGAAAGGAGAACCGUACAUGAGCAUUCAGCCUGCUGAAGAUCCAGACGAUUAUGAUGAUGGCUUUUCAAUGAAGCAUACAGCCACUGCCCGUUUCCAGAGAAACCACCGCCUCAUCAGUGAAAUCCUUAGUGAGAGUGUGGUGCCAGACGUCCGUUCAGUUGUCACAACAGCUAGAAUGCAGGUCCUCAAACAACAGGUCCAGUCCUUAAUGGUUCAUCAGCGAAAACUAGAAGCUGAACUUCUUCAAAUAGAGGAGCGACACCAGGAAAAGAAGAGGAAAUUCCUGGAAAGCACAGAUUCAUUUAACAAUGAACUUAAAAGGUUGUGCGGUUUGAAAGUAGAAGUGGAUAUGGAAAAAAUUGCCGCUGAAAUUGCACAGGCAGAGGAACAGGCUCGAAAAAGGCAGGAGGAAAGAGAGAAAGAAGCCGCAGAGCAAGCCGAACGCAGUCAGAGCAGCAUGGUUCUUGAGGAAGAGCAAGCUGCUGGUAAGAGCGAGGAGAAGAAGGACGAGAGCCUCCCGAUGGAGACAGAGGAGACACACCUUGAAGAAGCGACGGAAAGCCAACAGAAUGGUGAAGAAGGCACGUCUACUCCUGAGGACAAGGAGAGCAGGCAGGAGGGGGUGGACAGUAUGGCUGAGGAGGGGACCAGUGACAGUAACACCGGCUCCGAGAGCAACAGUGCCGCAGUGGAGGAGCCACCCACAGACCCCACACCGGAAGACGAGAAGAAAGAAUAAAUGUUGCCUUGUCUUAUGUGUUCUAAAUACUUUUUUAAAUGAAAAAAAAUGUUUUUUGAGUUUUAAUGGUGUUAUGUGGUUUGUGUAUUAAUAUCUUUCUUGUCCAUAUCGCACCACCAAAGGCUUUUGGACCAUUUAGCAUCACAAGCCAAAUGGCACCGUCCCCUUUCUUAAGCCUUUGUGAAGAUGUUCUUUUCUUUGGAUCUUAUUCCUAGCCCUCAACUCCUGAAAGCCUCAGAAUUUAAAUUAAUCGAGAAAACGCCCACCUCUUUUAGAGAGUUAUCCUUUGAUGCUGCACAAUUUACUCUUACAAAUGCCUUCCUACAGCUCACUGGGGUGCUUACCAAAGCCAUAGCUUUAAACCUCCCAGUCCCUAUCAACAGCUUCCCGAAAGUCCCCUUUCCUGUAUACUUCCACAAAGAGUAGUUUCUUGAAAACGUAAUCAUGUGUGAGUAUGUAUUUGUUCAUUUACCCUUUUUUAUUUUUAAUCAGUGUCGGAUACCAAGAGUUGUGUUAAGGAUUGACUACAACUAAGCUUGGAUCGUAUUGAUCCAGAAAUAGUCUCCAUUGUUCAAGUAGUUACCAGCUUAUGAAGUAGGCAUUAAAAUGAACAUGGCACAUACACAUUAUGUAUACUGCUUUUUGUUGUAAUUCAUAUUGGGUGUGUUCUGAUAAAUUCAUCCUUACUGUACAGAAAAAGAAAGUUACUUUUUUACCAAGUUUUCCAAAGACAGAAUAGGUCACAAAGCUUAAGGAAUUGAAUAUUCUUGCAGUGGACUAGACAACUUCAAAACGAUGAGCCCAUUCCGGGAGGAAAACAGCUGGGAAUUCGUUUCGUCCAUGUGAAAUUUUCUUCAAUAAUCAAAACUCAAAACCUCAAGGCUCAGGAUCCCAUAGGUCAGAGCCUACCUUUUUGAUAAACUCUUAGUAAAGUCUUGGAGACUAGAAGCAAGAUAGUUUGUGACACGUGUGCUUCCCAAAAACUAGAAUAGAUUUUUAUUAAAUAGUGGUAUAUCUGAUGGUAUAUGUUUCUUAAAGGUCCAAAUGUAAUAAAUAAGUGGAAAAAA